RNAcentral lists this unclassified non-coding RNA (729 nucleotides) under uncultured Campylobacterota bacterium. RNAcentral describes it as "uncultured Epsilonproteobacteria bacterium partial 16S-23S ribosomal RNA intergenic spacer". The stretch from base 74 to 146 matches the Rfam family "tRNA". Lineage: Bacteria; Pseudomonadati; Campylobacterota. The record is from RNAcentral.
AACGAACAUCAAAAGAUGUUGAUUUGAUUAUAUUUGGUUGUCAAAGAUCAUUGAGGUCUUUAAAAGCUUUAAUGGGGAAUUAGCUCAGCUGGGAGAGCGCCUGCUUUGCACGCAGGAGGUCAGCGGUUCGAUCCCGCUAUUCUCCACCAUUUCGGCGUAAAGCACUUUAUAAGCAUACUUCAUGUACUUCUAGUACACUUCGUAAACUUAUAAAGCACUUUUCGUUCGAAAUGAGUUUGAAUAAACCAUAUGGUUUGAGCUAUUUUUGGUUUUAUGCCUAAUGAAAGAGUUUUACGAAACCUUUUCAUUAGACAUUUGUCUAAAAGUUAUUUAACUUAUCAUUGUUAAGAGUCUAACGUAAUGUUGCAAGAUAUUUAUAGAAAUAUAAUUAUCAAACAAAAAAUUACAAUUUAACAGAAAAAAUUAUUAAUAGCAAUAUUGAUAAUCUUUCAUGUGCAAAAAACUCAUAAUCUUAUUAGAUGUAACAUUAAAUUCUAUGUAUAUAGUUUUUAUUGAGCGACUAGUCGCGUGAGCUGUCUGCUGAAGACCUAAUUUUGAGCUUUGCUUAAAAUUUGAGAAUGAUUCAGAUAGUAUGAUUGCAUUUAAUAAGGUAGUUCCUUAGAAUAAUAUAAAUUAAACUAAGGGCAGAUGGUGGAUGCCUUGACUGGUAGAGGCGAUGAAGGACGUACUAGGCUGCGAUAAGCCAUGGGGAGCUGCCAAGAAGCUUUG